This 253-nucleotide ribosomal RNA is filed under the name uncultured bacterium. RNAcentral's name for it is "partial 16S ribosomal RNA". It matches the Rfam family "Bacterial small subunit ribosomal RNA", at positions 524 to 776 of the family's 1533-position model. The record is from RNAcentral.
UACGAAGGGAGCGAGCGUUGUUCGGAAUUACUGGGCUUAAAGCGUGCGUAGGCGGACAAGAAAGUCAGAAGUGAAAUCCCGGGGCUUAACCUCGGAACUGCUUUUGAAACUUCUUGUCUGGAAUUCGGAAGAGGUUGGCGGAAUACCCAGUGUAGAGGUGAAAUUCGCAGAUAUUGGGUAGAACACCGGUGGCGAAGGCGGCCAACUGGUCCGGUACUGACGCUGAGGUGCGAAAGCGUGGGGAGCAAACAGG